AAGUCGUAACAAGGUUUCCGUAGGUGAACCUGCGGAAGGAUCAUUAUUGAUGUUACCAUCAUAAACCACUGUGAACCACCGGGGAAACCCGCAUAUACACACACCUUAAUAGUUAAAGUCCAAAAAGUUAAAAAUCAUAACAACUUUCAACAACGGAUCUCUUGGCUCUC
This 170-nucleotide unclassified non-coding RNA is filed under the name air metagenome. RNAcentral's name for it is "partial contains small subunit ribosomal RNA, internal transcribed spacer 1, and 5.8S ribosomal RNA". The stretch from base 1 to 46 matches the Rfam family "Eukaryotic small subunit ribosomal RNA", at positions 1786 to 1831 of the family's 1831-position model. The record is from RNAcentral.